RNAcentral lists this ribosomal RNA (698 nucleotides) under Pseudomonas sp. ATCC 13867. Its description in RNAcentral is "bacterial LSU rRNA". It matches the Rfam family "Bacterial large subunit ribosomal RNA", at positions 352 to 1056 of the family's 2925-position model. Lineage: Bacteria; Pseudomonadati; Pseudomonadota; Gammaproteobacteria; Pseudomonadales; Pseudomonadaceae. The record is from RNAcentral.
CGGCCAUAGUGGGUGAUAGCCCCGUAUGUGAAAGGUUCUUUGAAGUGAAAUCGAGUAGGACGGAGCACGAGAAACUUUGUCUGAAUAUGGGGGGACCAUCCUCCAAGGCUAAAUACUACUGACUGACCGAUAGUGAACCAGUACCGUGAGGGAAAGGCGAAAAGAACCCCGGAGAGGGGAGUGAAAUAGAACCUGAAACCGUAUGCGUACAAGCAGUGGGAGCCUACUUGUUAGGUGACUGCGUACCUUUUGUAUAAUGGGUCAGCGACUUAUAUUCAGUGGCGAGCUUAACCGAAUAGGGAAGGCGUAGCGAAAGCGAGUCUUAAUAGGGCGAAUUAGUCGCUGGGUAUAGACCCGAAACCGGGCGAUCUAUCCAUGAGCAGGUUGAAGGUUAGGUAACACUGACUGGAGGACCGAACCCACUCCCGUUGAAAAGGUAGGGGAUGACUUGUGGAUCGGAGUGAAAGGCUAAUCAAGCUCGGAGAUAGCUGGUUCUCCUCGAAAGCUAUUUAGGUAGCGCCUCACGUAUCACUCCAGGGGGGUAGAGCACUGUUUCGGCUAGGGGGUCAUCCCGACUUACCAAACCGAUGCAAACUCCGAAUACCUGGAAGUGUCAGCGUGGGAGACACACGGCGGGUGCUAACGUCCGUCGUGAAAAGGGAAACAACCCAGACCGUCAGCUAAGGUCCCAAAGUUAU